This 2889-nucleotide ribosomal RNA is filed under the name Pseudomonas aeruginosa BL07. RNAcentral's name for it is "bacterial LSU rRNA". It matches the Rfam family "Bacterial large subunit ribosomal RNA". Lineage: Bacteria; Pseudomonadati; Pseudomonadota; Gammaproteobacteria; Pseudomonadales; Pseudomonadaceae. RNAcentral also lists the same sequence under 2 other names. The record is from RNAcentral.
UCAAGUGAAGAAGCGCAUACGGUGGAUGCCUUGGCAGUCAGAGGCGAUGAAAGACGUGGUAGCCUGCGAAAAGCUUCGGGGAGUCGGCAAACAGACUUUGAUCCGGAGAUCUCUGAAUGGGGGAACCCACCUAGGAUAACCUAGGUAUCUUGUACUGAAUCCAUAGGUGCAAGAGGCGAACCAGGGGAACUGAAACAUCUAAGUACCCUGAGGAAAAGAAAUCAACCGAGAUUCCCUUAGUAGUGGCGAGCGAACGGGGAUUAGCCCUUAAGCUUCAUUGAUUUUAGCGGAACGCUCUGGAAAGUGCGGCCAUAGUGGGUGAUAGCCCCGUACGCGAAAGGAUCUUUGAAGUGAAAUCGAGUAGGACGGAGCACGAGAAACUUUGUCUGAACAUGGGGGGACCAUCCUCCAAGGCUAAAUACUACUGACUGACCGAUAGUGAACCAGUACCGUGAGGGAAAGGCGAAAAGAACCCCGGAGAGGGGAGUGAAAUAGAACCUGAAACCGUAUGCGUACAAGCAGUGGGAGCCUACUUGUUAGGUGACUGCGUACCUUUUGUAUAAUGGGUCAGCGACUUAUAUUCAGUGGCAAGCUUAACCGUAUAGGGUAGGCGUAGCGAAAGCGAGUCUUAAUAGGGCGUUUAGUCGCUGGGUAUAGACCCGAAACCGGGCGAUCUAUCCAUGAGCAGGUUGAAGGUUAGGUAACACUGACUGGAGGACCGAACCCACUCCCGUUGAAAAGGUAGGGGAUGACUUGUGGAUCGGAGUGAAAGGCUAAUCAAGCUCGGAGAUAGCUGGUUCUCCUCGAAAGCUAUUUAGGUAGCGCCUCAUGUAUCACUCUGGGGGGUAGAGCACUGUUUCGGCUAGGGGGUCAUCCCGACUUACCAAACCGAUGCAAACUCCGAAUACCCAGAAGUGCCGAGCAUGGGAGACACACGGCGGGUGCUAACGUCCGUCGUGAAAAGGGAAACAACCCAGACCGCCAGCUAAGGUCCCAAAGUUGUGGUUAAGUGGUAAACGAUGUGGGAAGGCUUAGACAGCUAGGAGGUUGGCUUAGAAGCAGCCACCCUUUAAAGAAAGCGUAAUAGCUCACUAGUCGAGUCGGCCUGCGCGGAAGAUGUAACGGGGCUCAAACCACACACCGAAGCUGCGGGUGUCACGUAAGUGACGCGGUAGAGGAGCGUUCUGUAAGCCUGUGAAGGUGAGUUGAGAAGCUUGCUGGAGGUAUCAGAAGUGCGAAUGCUGACAUGAGUAACGACAAUGGGUGUGAAAAACCCCCACGCCGAAAGACCAAGGGUUCCUGCGCAACGUUAAUCGACGCAGGGUUAGUCGGUUCCUAAGGCGAGGCUGAAAAGCGUAGUCGAUGGGAAACAGGUUAAUAUUCCUGUACUUCUGGUUACUGCGAUGGAGGGACGGAGAAGGCUAGGCCAGCUUGGCGUUGGUUGUCCAAGUUUAAGGUGGUAGGCUGAAAUCUUAGGUAAAUCCGGGGUUUCAAGGCCGAGAGCUGAUGACGAGUCGUCUUUUAGAUGACGAAGUGGUUGAUGCCAUGCUUCCAAGAAAAGCUUCUAAGCUUCAGGUAACCAGGAACCGUACCCCAAACCGACACAGGUGGUCGGGUAGAGAAUACCAAGGCGCUUGAGAGAACUCGGGUGAAGGAACUAGGCAAAAUGGCACCGUAACUUCGGGAGAAGGUGCGCCGGCUAGGGUGAAGGAUUUACUCCGUAAGCUCUGGCUGGUCGAAGAUACCAGGCCGCUGCGACUGUUUAUUAAAAACACAGCACUCUGCAAACACGAAAGUGGACGUAUAGGGUGUGACGCCUGCCCGGUGCCGGAAGGUUAAUUGAUGGGGUUAGCGCAAGCGAAGCUCUUGAUCGAAGCCCCGGUAAACGGCGGCCGUAACUAUAACGGUCCUAAGGUAGCGAAAUUCCUUGUCGGGUAAGUUCCGACCUGCACGAAUGGCGUAACGAUGGCGGCGCUGUCUCCACCCGAGACUCAGUGAAAUUGAAAUCGCUGUGAAGAUGCAGUGUAUCCGCGGCUAGACGGAAAGACCCCGUGAACCUUUACUGUAGCUUUGCACUGGACUUUGAGCCUGCUUGUGUAGGAUAGGUGGGAGGCUUUGAAGCGUGGACGCCAGUUCGCGUGGAGCCAUCCUUGAAAUACCACCCUGGCAUGCUUGAGGUUCUAACUCUGGUCCGUGAUCCGGAUCGAGGACAGUGUAUGGUGGGCAGUUUGACUGGGGCGGUCUCCUCCUAAAGAGUAACGGAGGAGUACGAAGGUGCGCUCAGACCGGUCGGAAAUCGGUCGCAGAGUAUAAAGGCAAAAGCGCGCUUGACUGCGAGACAGACACGUCGAGCAGGUACGAAAGUAGGUCUUAGUGAUCCGGUGGUUCUGUAUGGAAGGGCCAUCGCUCAACGGAUAAAAGGUACUCCGGGGAUAACAGGCUGAUACCGCCCAAGAGUUCAUAUCGACGGCGGUGUUUGGCACCUCGAUGUCGGCUCAUCACAUCCUGGGGCUGAAGCCGGUCCCAAGGGUAUGGCUGUUCGCCAUUUAAAGUGGUACGCGAGCUGGGUUUAGAACGUCGUGAGACAGUUCGGUCCCUAUCUGCCGUGGACGUUUGAGAUUUGAGAGGGGCUGCUCCUAGUACGAGAGGACCGGAGUGGACGAACCUCUGGUGUUCCGGUUGUCACGCCAGUGGCAUUGCCGGGUAGCUAUGUUCGGAAAAGAUAACCGCUGAAAGCAUCUAAGCGGGAAACUUGCCUCAAGAUGAGAUCUCACUGGGAACUUGAUUCCCCUGAAGGGCCGUCGAAGACUACGACGUUGAUAGGCUGGGUGUGUAAGCGUUGUGAGGCGUUGAGCUAACCAGUACUAAUUGCCCGUGAGGCUUGACCAU